CUCUCUCUCUCUCUCUCCCUCUGUCUCUCUCUCUCUCUCUCUGUCUCUCUGUCUCUCUCUGUUUCUCUCUCUCUGUCCUCGUGGCCUCGCUGGCAUUCAAGGUCUUCGCAAAAUUAAGUGGUCUGCAGUGAUAUUAUUUAAAGGUCAUUCAGAGUCUUCAUACAUAUAUUAUUUUUACCAUCCAGUAAAGAUUCUGCUUUAUUCAACAUCACUUCAGCAUGAACCAAUUAUGAAGUAUUACUGUGCUCCGCGUUGAAUGUACUGUUCACCAAGUGGAGUAUAAAUUAGCUGUAUUUCAGUCCUGACAUCACAAUUCACAAGUGUGACUUUAGCUAAUUAUCAUGGUUUAUUUUUAGUAUUGAUUUUAAGGGGGUGUUAAUCUUCUUCAAAAACGUUAUUAAAAUUUUUGUUGAAAUUAUGAUUAUGAGAUUAUAAUUGAAAUGUCACAGACUUGGCGACUUCGUGUCAGUUCAAAUCGAUGCGCUGUAGCUCAUUUCUCAAGAUUGCCAACUAUAGAUUCAACAAUGUUUUUUCACUUCCUCAGCUCGUGUGGAUUAAAAGAAAUAGAAAGAAUGAGUCAUAAAACUCCUUAAAUUUAAAAUACAAUUAUGUGAGGAGAUGCAAAUAUUCAGCCGACUCUGAAGCGAUGGAUCAUUACUGGAAGGUGAAGGUGCAGUCAGACACCUUUGUGUUAUCGGUUAUUCUCUCAACAUUGGCCAUCCGGCGCAUCGCUUCAGGUCAUACAGGAAAGAAUGGCAGCACUAGGUGAAACUAAGUACAGGUUGGAAAGGGCAAACAUUGCUAUAAUUAAGUCUGUGUAGGAAAGGGUAUUUCUGAAUACUGAAAAGAGAUGAAAAUAAAGAGUUUAACGUAACAGAGAGAGAAGUAUGAGCCACGCAGGCGUUUUCCAAAUGAGUGGCGUGUUUUGACAUCACGUCUGAAAAAGCCACAUAACGUCCUGGGUCCGUUCUCUUCUCAUUUCCCUUCCCCCACAUUUCCUGUGACAGAAGAAACCUUUGUUAAGGGAUUCAUCGGCUCUCGCCUGCUUUACCACAAUGUCAAACCUAUCCAACUUAAUCCGUUCAGAUAAUAUUAUAUACUGUAUAUCAUGUGCAUCACCUGGGCAGUUCAUAUUUUCCUUUUACAUUAAGAACAGCUACUUUCAACUAACAGAGGAACAGCAAUAAAAAUACGUAAUGUGUCAUUAGUGAUAAACUGUAAUGCAGAAACUGUGUUUUACACUCAAGCAUUUAUUCCCCUAUAGAAAUAUAAAUUAUAUAUUAAAAUAGAUUUUAAGUGUCCAUGAAGUCAAAAUACUGAUUAAGGAAAAUUAUAAGGUAAUGCUAAAAAUAUAAUAAUAUAAAAUAAUUUUCUGUAAAUUAUAGUGGGUCCAGUGUAGACUCCUGUGGGACUCCAUUUGUUGAUGAUGACAUGGCAAGUUGUCCUUCCCUUGAAAAUGGACAUGGAAUAAACCUGGGAAAUAUAUAUAUAUAUAUAUAUAUAUAU
Gasterosteus aculeatus aculeatus (three-spined stickleback) is the source of this 1506-nucleotide long non-coding RNA. Lineage: Eukaryota; Metazoa; Chordata; Actinopteri; Perciformes; Gasterosteidae. The record is from Ensembl.